UUGUUGUCGCUCUGGCUGGGGUCUCCGGAGUUGGCCGAUAUGUACACAAUGAUGCCAAUGAUGUUGCUCAAACCUGAAGAGUGACAUGUGGGGAGUCAAGAACAACAACAACAACAAAAAAGCCUAAAGCAGGGGAAAAAUAUCAACAAUAAGACUAGUUUUUAGUCUUUUCCCUUCCCUUGCAACCCCUGAAUAAGCCACUCCUUUUUUGAUAGUGGGCAUAUGAACAUAUGGGAGUCCUGCUCAAAUGAUAGAGAUCCUGCAAAAGAGUUGCAUCGGAGCAUCAGCGUCAGGUCUGACAUGAAAUACGUGUAAAUGAGAUGCAGCAGGUCCUCCACAGGCCAGAGUGGGUGAGCACCUCCUCGUUCUUGCGGACUGUCUCGUUGUCGCCCAGGUUCUUGGAGCGGCACAUCCCGCGCGAGUACAACCAGUAGUCGGUGCCCACGGCGAUGGUCAUGAGGCUGAAGGCGCAGAAGGCCCCGGCCGUAGUCAUCAGCAUCAUCACCCCCCGGUUGCACAGCCUCAUGCCUCCCCGCCCUCCCAAAAAAACUGUUGCCUUUUAUCUCAACUUGGCUUCACUUGCUUGAAUGCCCGGUCAACUUUUCGAUGCAUCUUUCGCAGGUAAACAUUGCACUUCUUUGCAUUGCAAUCUUCGGCGGUCCUUGGAAAUGUCACCUCCAGAUCCCCAAAAAAACAUACACCCGAUGGAAUUCUUUCAGCAGAUGAGACGGAAAGUAAGUACGGCAACCUCUCGCUAUGCGCACAUGCUCUGCUGUGAUGGCGAUGCUGCUCAAUAAUCAUUGUAGCAUGCACCCCCUGCCCUAUUUGUGUGUGUGUGUGUGUGUGUGUGUGUGUGUGUG
This is a long non-coding RNA of Hippocampus comes (tiger tail seahorse), 860 nucleotides long. RefSeq lists it as uncharacterized. The transcript has 3 exons. NCBI's taxonomy places the organism in Eukaryota, Metazoa, Chordata, Actinopteri, Syngnathiformes, Syngnathidae. The record is from RefSeq and is a predicted model, not a curated record.